Molecule: unclassified non-coding RNA, 338 nt
Filed under: uncultured fungus
Lineage: Eukaryota; Fungi
Description: sequence contains ITS1
Rfam family: 5.8S ribosomal RNA (bases 1-103)
Source: RNAcentral
GAAGUGCGAUAAGCAAUGCGAAUUGCAGAACCGUGAGUCAUCAGAUUUUUGAACGCAACUGGCGCCGAUUGGCUAUCCAGUCGGCAUGCUUGUUUCAGUGUCUCUUUUUUUCCUCACCCAAAUCUUAAUGCGAGAGAUACCCUUCUCUUGCUAAGUACGAAAGCACUCUGAGCCCUGCAAGUGAUUUGGCUUCGGUCAAGGUCACACUCAAUGCAGCAGUCACAUUGCUCACAAUGUGAACUCAUUGAGAGUCGAGUCAGCGCAGCUAGUCUGCAAGUGCUUAGAGCUUCAAACUCUUCUUGUAUCUGAAAUCAAGCAGGAUCACCCGCUGAACUUAA